Molecule: ribosomal RNA, 335 nt
Filed under: uncultured bacterium
Lineage: Bacteria
Description: bacterial SSU rRNA
Rfam family: Bacterial small subunit ribosomal RNA
Source: RNAcentral
AGAGUUCGAUUCUGGCUCAGGAUGAACGCUACCUACAGGCUUAACACAUGCAAGUCGAGGGGCAGCAUGAACUUAGCUUGCUAAGUUUGAUGGCGACCGGCGCACGGGUGAGUAACGCGUAUCCAACCUUCCGCUUACUCGGGGAUAGCCUUUCGAAAGAAAGAUUAAUACCCGAUGGUAUCUUAAGCACGCAUGAGAUUAAGAUUAAAGAUUUAUCGGUAAGCGAUGGGGAUGCGUUCCAUUAGGCAGUUGGCGGGGUAACGGCCCACCAAACCUACGAUGGAUAGGGGUUCUGAGAGGAAGGUCCCCCACAUUGGAACUGAGACACGGCCCAA